Molecule: long non-coding RNA, 484 nt
Organism: Amphiprion ocellaris (clown anemonefish)
Lineage: Eukaryota; Metazoa; Chordata; Actinopteri; Pomacentridae
Source: Ensembl
UAAAGUUCUCUAUUUCACGUACCUGUAGUAACAUGGUUUGUCUUCCUUCGUCGUAGUUUCGGAUCUGCCUGGUCUCACCUGGAUUCUUCGCCGUCUUCUUCACUCGGGAUUAAUCCAUCACAGCCGUUCCUUGGCGUCUUCUCCAUACCUACCUGCCGUCUCAAGUUCUCCCUGGUUUUCGUCCACAUGAGAUGUGAGCUUUUGCGGGUUUAAUCAGUGACCAAUGAAGGACUUGAACCCUUACUGUUCAGGACAAAUUUGACCCGACAUUUGACAGCAGCAAAAAUACCCUAAAUGUCAUUCUUUCAGCCUGAAAUCUGACAAACCUCCACUCUGAAAUCUGAACCUGCAGAAGUGCUGUGCUCCACCAGGCACUCGCCACUCUUCUUUGCUCCUCUGAGAAGUUCACUUUUUCCAGACUGGUUUCACUCAUCCUCCCUCAGAGGGGAUUUCAACAGAGACACGUCUCCUGCCGCUGUGCACG